Molecule: ribosomal RNA, 1482 nt
Filed under: Mycobacterium tuberculosis
Lineage: Bacteria; Bacillati; Actinomycetota; Actinomycetes; Mycobacteriales; Mycobacteriaceae
Description: bacterial LSU rRNA
Rfam family: Bacterial large subunit ribosomal RNA
Source: RNAcentral
GGGUGACGCAGGAAGGUAGCCGUACCAGUCAGUGGUAACACUGGGGCAAGCCGGUAGGGAGAGCGAUAGGCAAAUCCGUCGCUCACUAAUCCUGAGAGGUGACGACGCAUAGCCGGUUGAGGCGAAUUCGGUGAUCCUCUGCUGCCAAGAAAAGCCUCUAGCGAGCACACACACGGCCCGUACCCCAAACCGACACAGGUGGUCAGGUAGAGCAUACCAAGGCGUACGAGAUAACUAUGGUUAAGGAACUCGGCAAAAUGCCCCCGUAACUUCGGGAGAAGGGGGACCGGAAUAUCGUGAACACCCUUGCGGUGGGAGCGGGAUCCGGUCGCAGAAACCAGUGAGGAGCGACUGUUUACUAAAAACACAGGUCCGUGCGAAGUCGCAAGACGAUGUAUACGGACUGACGCCUGCCCGGUGCUGGAAGGUUAAGAGGACCCGUUAACCCGCAAGGGUGAAGCGGAGAAUUUAAGCCCCAGUAAACGGCGGUGGUAACUAUAACCAUCCUAAGGUAGCGAAAUUCCUUGUCGGGUAAGUUCCGACCUGCACGAAUGGCGUAACGACUUCUCAACUGUCUCAACCAUAGACUCGGCGAAAUUGCACUACGAGUAAAGAUGCUCGUUACGCGCGGCAGGACGAAAAGACCCCGGGACCUUCACUACAACUUGGUAUUGAUGUUCGGUACGGUUUGUGUAGGAUAGGUGGGAGACUGUGAAACCUCGACGCCAGUUGGGGCGGAGUCGUUGUUGAAAUACCACUCUGAUCGUAUUGGGCAUCUAACCUCGAACCCUGAAUCGGGUUUAGGGACAGUGCCUGGCGGGUAGUUUAACUGGGGCGGUUGCCUCCUAAAAUGUAACGGAGGCGCCCAAAGGUUCCCUCAACCUGGACGGCAAUCAGGUGGCGAGUGUAAAUGCACAAGGGAGCUUGACUGCGAGACUUACAAGUCAAGCAGGGACGAAAGUCGGGAUUAGUGAUCCGGCACCCCCGAGUGGAAGGGGUGUCGCUCAACGGAUAAAAGGUACCCCGGGGAUAACAGGCUGAUCUUCCCCAAGAGUCCAUAUCGACGGGAUGGUUUGGCACCUCGAUGUCGGCUCGUCGCAUCCUGGGGCUGGAGCAGGUCCCAAGGGUUGGGCUGUUCGCCCAUUAAAGCGGCACGCGAGCUGGGUUUAGAACGUCGUGAGACAGUUCGGUCUCUAUCCGCCGCGCGCGUCAGAAACUUGAGGAAACCUGUCCCUAGUACGAGAGGACCGGGACGGACGAACCUCUGGUGCACCAGUUGUCCCGCCAGGGGCACCGCUGGAUAGCCACGUUCGGUCAGGAUAACCGCUGAAAGCAUCUAAGCGGGAAACCUUCUCCAAGAUCAGGUUUCUCACCCACUUGGUGGGAUAAGGCCCCCCGCAGAACACGGGUUCAAUAGGUCAGACCUGGAAGCUCAGUAAUGGGUGUAGGGAACUGGUGCUAACCGGCCGAAAACUUACAACA